AUGCCCUUCUACAACGUCGUGUCCACGACCAGCAGGAGGCCGCCGCUCGCCUCGCGCCUUUGCUGCCGACGACCGAGGCCGCUGGGGUAUGCCCGCAGUCACCCAGUGCCGCCUUGCACCGCUCCUCUCCCUCGCGUUGCCCGACGACCCUGCUGGCUUCGCUGGAGCGCUCUGCCGCGCCAAGUCCUCGCCGACCUUCCUCUGCGUGCCCGCAAGCUCCACCGACCGCGUGUGUGCCUUUCGCUAUCGGAUAUGCCAAGAUCGCCCAGUCCAAGACCACCACAAGUCCGUCUACACAAACCUGCCAAGUACCUCUACGUAUCGGAUGUCGACAAGUAA
This 339-nucleotide ribosomal RNA is filed under the name Triticum aestivum (bread wheat). RNAcentral's name for it is "partial small subunit ribosomal RNA". Lineage: Eukaryota; Viridiplantae; Streptophyta; Magnoliopsida; Poales; Poaceae. The record is from RNAcentral.